UACGUAGGGUGCAAGCGUUGUCCGGAAUUAUUGGGCGUAAAGAGCUUGUAGGCGGUUUGUCGCGUCUGCUGUGAAAUUUCGGGGCUCAACCCCGAACUUGCAGUGGGUACGGGCAGACUAGAGUGUGGUGGGGGAGACUGGAAUUCCUGGUGUAGCGGUGAAAUGCGCAGAUAUCAGGAGGAACACCGAUGGCGAAGGCAGGUCUCUGGGCCAUAACUGACGCUGAGAAGCGAAAAGCAUGGGGAGCGAACAGG
RNAcentral lists this ribosomal RNA (254 nucleotides) under uncultured bacterium. RNAcentral describes it as "partial 16S ribosomal RNA". It matches the Rfam family "Bacterial small subunit ribosomal RNA", at positions 524 to 776 of the family's 1533-position model. The record is from RNAcentral.